Long non-coding RNA from Drosophila montana, 592 nucleotides. RefSeq lists it as uncharacterized. The record is from RefSeq and is a predicted model, not a curated record. The transcript has 2 exons. Lineage: Eukaryota; Metazoa; Arthropoda; Insecta; Diptera; Drosophilidae.
CAUUUGUUAUGUCAUUCCUUUUAAUUGUAUAUAUAUUUUGUAUUUGUAUUUAAAGUACCGGGCUUCUUGAGUGCAAAAUUUAAAUAUGUUAAUAAAUAGUUUAUUUGGUAUAGUUGUGUGUUCUUCUAAUUUUAUCCAUUUUCGUUUUAUUGUGUAUAGUGCUAAUUCCAUUGGUAUACUGGAGGACUAAGACUGGCCUUCGUUAGGACCAUUUACAUAAAUGCCAAAAAUGGAAAACGAGGGGAAGAAAUUGAGUAAAUGCAUGCUUUUGGAGGACUAUACAAGUUGGGCUCAUGGCGUCCUCUCAGAACGCAGAAUGAAAUUCAUGGGAACGUAAAAAAUAAAUUAACAUACUUAAUUAGACACACACAGCCGUACAGAAGGAAACAAAAUGAAUUCCGACAAUUGAUUCUCAUGUAACUAGCGCUUUUAAAAUCGACGCUUAUUUGGCAAAUGCCCGCUUACCCUUUUCGCAAGAAAAUCGAGGUGCUGGCAGGAUUUGUCGAGAAAUUGGUGAAAUUGUACGGAAAUUGACGUUUAUGAAAAUGCCUAGAAGUGAAUGUUUCAAUUACUAAAUAUUGCUCCAACGGUU